AAAAUACUCCCUCCGUCCGGAAAAACUUGUCCAAGAAAUAGAUGUAUCUAGACUUAUUUUAGUUAUAGAUACAUUCAUUUUAUACAUUUUUAGGACAAGUAUUUUCGGACGGAGGGAGUAGAAA
RNAcentral lists this microRNA precursor (124 nucleotides) under Hordeum vulgare. RNAcentral's name for it is "microRNA MIR1122". It matches the Rfam family "MIR1120/MIR1122 microRNA precursor family". The record is from RNAcentral. Lineage: Eukaryota; Viridiplantae; Streptophyta; Magnoliopsida; Poales; Poaceae.